UGGGGAAUUUUGGACAAUGGGCGAAAGCCUGAUCCAGCAAUGCCGCGUGUGUGAAGAAGGCCUUCGGGUUGUAAAGCACUUUUGUCCGGAAAGAAAUCCUUGGCUCUAAUACAGUCGGGGGAUGACGGUACCGGAAGAAUAAGCACCGGCUAACUACGUGCCAGCAGCCGCGGUAAUACGUAGGGUGCAAGCGUUAAUCGGAAUUACUGGGCGUAAAGCGUGCGCAGGCGGUUUGCUAAGACCGAUGUGAAAUCCCCGGGCUCAACCUGGGAACUGCAUUGGUGACUGGCAGGCUAGAGUAUGGCAGAGGGGGGUAGAAUUCCACGUGUAGCAGUGAAAUGCGUAGAGAUGUGGAGGAAUACCGAUGGCGAAGGCAGCCCCCUGGGCCAAUACUGACGCUCAUGCACGAAAGCGUGGGGAGCAAACAGGAUUAGAUACCCUGGUAGUCCACGCCCUAAACGAUGUCAACUAGUUGUGGGGAUUCAUUUCCUAGUAACGUAGCUAACGCGUGAAGUUGACCGCCUGGGGAGUACGGUCGCAAGAUUAAAACUCAAAUGAAUUGACGGGGUC
RNAcentral lists this ribosomal RNA (570 nucleotides) under uncultured bacterium. RNAcentral describes it as "partial 16S ribosomal RNA". It matches the Rfam family "Bacterial small subunit ribosomal RNA", at positions 355 to 920 of the family's 1533-position model. The record is from RNAcentral.